This 200-nucleotide long non-coding RNA is filed under the name Lathyrus oleraceus (garden pea). Its description in RNAcentral is "Pisum sativum (pea) long non-coding RNA (PSAT_LNC019497)". The record is from RNAcentral. Lineage: Eukaryota; Viridiplantae; Streptophyta; Magnoliopsida; Fabales; Fabaceae.
UAAAAGUGUGCUCCACAUAAGAUCUCACGUUGAAAUCCUGGUAGGUGAAAUCAAUUUUUUUGUUGGGUUAGUCCAUACAAAGUCUUGCUCCGAUUUUAAAUGAGAUCUGUAGCGAUAAAUUCAUGAUCAUUAAACUAUGGAUAAACUUAACGUUAAUAAAACCAUAAUCGUCACCGCGUUUUUAAUGUUUCCAAAGGAAA